Non-coding RNA from Phacochoerus africanus (Common warthog), 1027 nucleotides. The record is from the annotation of a RefSeq genome assembly. Lineage: Eukaryota; Metazoa; Chordata; Mammalia; Artiodactyla; Suidae.
UUGUAUAUAUUGUUGUUGUUGUUGUUGUUUUCUGCUGCUGCUACCUGAACAUUUCACACUCUUGACAGGUUUUGUGACUGAGGAGGCAUGAUGUGAACUCAUUCAAUAAGAGCAAUAUGUUUGUCAGCAAUUUCUGCUUAGAGUCCUGCCCUGUUCUCCUUGAUUGCUCAGGCUGUUAACAUCAGAACGAAUAGGUCAGACUCGGGUGUGGUGCAGUUUGCAGAAUGGCCACCAGAGGGCAGGGCUUUCUUCAGAUGCGGUGCAGGUUUGGCUGAAGGGGCUGCUACUUGGCAGCCACAAGGCAUUUGCUUGCUCCUGGGCAGGAGGGCCUCUCCCUUUGCACAAGCUCUCGCUGGAUUUUAGCCUUGUUAGAUUCGGUGUAUUCCAGAGAGCAAGGACCAUUUUCUUUGGCUAACAUGCUUUCUGCCACUCACCCCGUUCUUGUGAUCUUCUUAAUCAUCGGAGGGUCCAACGGAGACUCAGUGAACCAAACUGAAGUCCCAGUGGUUCUUCCAGAGGAGGCACCUUUGACACUGAGCUGCACUUACCAGACCAUUUCUUCAGACCCCUAUCUUUUCUGGUAUGUCCAGUAUCCCAACAGAGCUCCUCAACUCCUCCUGAAGGGGUCAACUGCAAAACCAAGGGCAGAGGAGCAAGGUUUCCAGGCCACUCUGGUUAAGAGUGACAAGACCUUCCACCUGCAGAAACGCUCAGUGCAAACAUCAGACUCGGCUGUGUACUACUGUGCCGUGAGUGACACAGUGAGAGGGGCUGCAGGGGGAGCUGAGCACAAACCCAGAGGGCACAGGUGGGGACUGGCUGUGGGCUGCCCUGGGAGGGGGGUUCUUCUCUGUCUCUGCUCUGGCAUGCUGGAGGCAUCCUCAGGGUAGUUCCAGCUCUGAUGCUCAGAGCCAGGAUCCUUGGAAUUCUUGGAUUGCUGGUCAGAGAGGAAUCUAGGCCAGGGCAGUUUAAGAGGAACCUAAGAGCUCGUCUCAGAAAUGCCCUUUUUCUCAGCCCAGCCUCUUUC